GUGGCGACACAGAGCGGAACCCGAAAACCUGUCUCAGUUCGGAUUGGAGUCUGCAACCCGACUCCAUGAAGCUGGAUUCGCUAGUAAUCGCGCAUCAGCCAUGGCGCGGUGAAUACGUUCCCGGGCCUUGUACACACCGCCCGUCAAGCCAUGGAAGCCGGGAGUGCCUGAAGUGCGUGAGCGUAAGCAGCGCCCUAAGGUAAAACCGGUGACUGGGGCUAAGUCGUAACAAGGUACC
Molecule: ribosomal RNA, 238 nt
Filed under: uncultured bacterium
Lineage: Bacteria
Description: partial 16S ribosomal RNA
Rfam family: Bacterial small subunit ribosomal RNA
Source: RNAcentral